Thamnophis sirtalis is the source of this 767-nucleotide long non-coding RNA. RefSeq lists it as uncharacterized. NCBI's taxonomy places the organism in Eukaryota, Metazoa, Chordata, Lepidosauria, Squamata, Natricidae. The record is from RefSeq and is a predicted model, not a curated record.
UGCUUCUACGGAUUGAGGGUGUGGUGAGGUUUUUUGUUUUUUGGGGGGUGGGUGGGUAAGGCGGUAGCCACCAGCAAAUCGCCUUGCUCGCCUGAUUUUUAUGAGCCUCUGGGAAGUUUACCGUACAGAGCAGAAUGCGGCCGCCUCUUAAAAAUGCAUCCAAUUUGGUGCCCUCCAAGUCUUUUGCGAGUGCAAUUAUCUAAAUUCUCAAAGGCCAACGGGGCCAAAGGACAAGUUGAGAAUGACCAGAGUUGUCGUUUCAGUAUAUUUGGAAGACUUCAGAUGAAAUCGAGGAUGGUCAUACUGUGUUCGAUAUACCGUAUUUUUCGGACUAUAAGAAACACCGGUGUAUAAGAUGCACCAAGAUUUCGAAGAGAUGCCUGUUCCCAAUAUGAAUGACUACGAAAAAAUGGAUUACAUAGAGAAAUAACCUAAUCUGGUUUAAGACCAAACCAGACUGCUUCUAGGGAAACUACAAUUUUGUGAGACUCUUUAAGAGCUAAAUAAUUAGCAUCCUGCAUAAAAUAAGUAGUAAAACCUGUUUAUUCUGAAGAGUACAUUGUGUGACACCAAUGUGGAAGCUAAGGGGAAGUGUUAAGUGUUGAACUGACUGUAUUCAGAAGACAGCAAGAGAAGUGAUGAAGGACCCAAAAUGAAACACUUAUAAGACUAACACAUUUGGAAGGGAAAGUGUAGGUCAUCUAGUCCAACCCCCUGCCCAAACAGGAGACUCUACACCAUUUAUGAAAUUUAUGUCUCUUCUUGAA